Molecule: long non-coding RNA, 2763 nt
Filed under: Sus scrofa (pig)
Lineage: Eukaryota; Metazoa; Chordata; Mammalia; Artiodactyla; Suidae
Description: lncRNA (ENSSSCG00015053528.1)
Source: RNAcentral
AAGAAAAAGCUGCGUUUAAUUAAGAACCAUUUCCCUGGAAAGCAACGUAGUAGAGACUUUUAAGAGAAAUCGUAUAUAUCCUGCUCACUUUUUUUUUUUUUUUUAAUUUUCCCACUGUACAGCAAGGAGGUCAGGUUAUCCUUACAUGUAUACAUUACAAUUACAUUUUUCCCCCACCUCCAUCUUAUUCCUUAAAGGCUUAAAAUCAUUUCCCUUAAAGCCUCAGGGAGCCUCUUUCAUGUGCCAAGGGCUGUGCUGGGAAUUUAUACAUAUCCUCCUAACUGGAUUAUCACAAGGAUCCUAUGACUUAGCAUUAUGAAUGUACCCAUUUUACAGAUGACAAAACAGAGGCUAAAAAAAGAUGGAGUGACAGGAAUAAUCUCAAAGCUGAGUAUUCUUCCCCCACUCCUACCGUACAAGGGUUUGAGAAUACAAUCUCUGCAGCCCAAUUUAUAUACACAUAUUGACCAACAGAACAAUCUAUAAGAAAACCUACAUCGCUGUACACAGGGGAGAAGAAUUAGGAAAUUGUUUAAAUAUAUCUCUACUCAAUGGCAUGUCAGAUAAAUUUUGUUGCAUAACUGGAAAUACUCAACCUACUCAAAGGUGUUUAUCAAAUUUUUGUCAACUCCACCAAUUUUAUCUGCCCCUUCUCUCAUCAUCCUGAGUUGAUGCUUUUGCCUUUGGCCUCUUUGCAUCAGUAUCAGAUUAUUUAUAUAGAGUCUGAGGUGCUAACACAGGGAUUUUUCUCUAUUAGUACAGCCAUGACUAGGCCUCCCUCAUGGGCAGGAAAACUGCAUUAUGAAGAUCAAGAUCUUUUAAUACAGAAAGUCUCCUGGCUACUACAGACAAUCACAAAGGUUGUGGAUCAUGUGGAUGAAUGGGUUUGGCAUUUUUGAACCCUUAAAAUUAUUUGCUAGGUGUAAUUGAUGUUUGCUAGAGGGAAACUAGGAAAGAGAGGGGAAUAGGAAAGGGAGAAGGACAAGCAACCAUGUCAACAGCUCGUUUGGGGAAAAGAUUUAAAAAUAAUCCAAUUUGGCUAUCAGCAAAACAUAUCCAAAUAAAUGGACCCAGAAAUUUAACUUUCUGCAAUGACUUCCUUACUUUCAGGAAGGACCUAUUCUCACUGAUCAGCUGGAUACUGGGAUAAAAUGUGUGUUUUGUCUAAGAUUUGACUGAUCUGAGAGCUCAAUCAUGUUUAGACUUUAUAUCUGCUAAACUGCUCUUCUGGAGCUGCUUUAAGAGAAGUGGCAAACAUACUGCAACUUUUCCAUCUCUCAGCGAUUAGGGCUUAGUCCCACCUGGACAAGCUCCUGUCCCUUCUCUCCUCUUCAUUACUGCUGAGACCAGAGCAAGCUGCCCUCGGCCCAGGAGCUGUGAUGGAGUACGUUCCCCAGCUUCGAUCACCCUCUGAUCACCCCAGAAGAGGCUGUUGCACACGCCUGAGGGCAAGGCUUCCUGGACCAUGGACACUGUUCCUUGUCACUAAUGGAGACCCCUAUGUGGCUUCUACAUGCAGGUGCCAAGUGUGCAAGCUUUCUUUCUCAGCAUCAGACAUGGCUAAUCUGCCCUGGUGCUGGAAUGACAGUGUUGUCAGAGAAACACUGAACUGAGCUAGGGCUUGAAAGAUACCAAGGUCCACGUGAUGGGACCUGAGCAAGUCUACACGCUCACACCCUUGUGCACUUGAAAUUGGCAUAACAUUGCAAAUCAACUAUACCUUAAUUAAAAAAAGUUCUCUUUCCUCAUUUUUUGGUGUGAUUUUAAACAAAUAAGUACAAUUUGGUACAAUUAACAGCUCACAGCAACUCCCCUUCUCUUUUAUUUUAGAAAAGCUUUUUUUUUUUUCUUAUCAGGAAUCUUCCUUCUGAUCUUGCUAGAUUUCAACAAGAUAUAUUCUGCUCAGCAAACUCCAUGGCCACCAUUCUUUGGGAGACUUAAAAAUUUUGGUCAAAAAAUAUUUUUUUUUCUUUUCUUUUUAAGGCUGUACCCACAGCAUACAGAUGUUCCCAGGCUAGGGAUCAAAUCAGAGCUACAGCUGUUGGCCUACAGCUGCAUUACAGUCACAGUAAUGCAGGAUCUGAGCCAUAUAUUCAACCCACAGCUCAUGGCAAAGCUGGAUCCCCGCCUGACCCACUGAGUAAGUCCAGGGAUCGAACCGUAUCUCGUGGAUACUAGUCAGAUUCAUUUCCACUGCACCACAAAGGGAACUCCUCAAAAAACAUCUUCUGCUUUGAGUCUAUGCUAAUCUCCAAAGCAGCACAAAGAAGCUUGAGUCUUAUGACUUACACAUUCCCAGGGAGAAAUGGCCUGACAUCCUCCUAGUUUCUUACUGCUGUAUGCUACACACAGUAGGAUCUCACCGACACACAGUAAAUUAAUGCCAAACAGAUUAAAAAAAAAGAGCAAUGAGAACUUCUUUACAAUAAUCCAGGUCAAGCUAAUAAAAGAACUCUAACAGGUGAUGUAAUGUGGCGUGUAUGUGACUACAAGACAUCCUAUUACAUGGUGACCAGGAAAUGCAGUUCUUAUCAAACACAGACCCAAGAAACCCCUGAUGUUAGGAGGUGUUUCAUUAGACUGAAAUUAGACAUGGUUUCCAGUUUCUUUGAAAAAAAUAAACAAAAAAGGACCCGUUCCUUGGAAACUACAGACAAAAUAUGUCAUUACUCAGACCUCAAUUUGCUUUUGGAGAAUCAUGUUACAAAACCAUCCUUCUGCCCCACAAACCCUUAUUUGCCAAGGUCAGCCCCAUACUAGGCC